UACAAUUCCUCUUUCUCGGUUCUCGCUCUCUAGAAAGCGAAACAGAGCGGAAAAGGCAGAUGUGAGGAAGAAGAUGAGCUUCGAGAAGGCACAAAACCCAGCUUUGGGCUUUAACUUAGAAACAUGGAAUUUCUAUCAACUGGCUAAUUCAAGUGAGUAGUAGUUCACUGGGAGCGUAGCCAAAAUGAUUAACUUUUUCUUUGCAUCCCUCCGUACAAAAGCGGUGACCAUAUCCAAAACAGAAGUGGCAGGUUUGAGCUGGUGAGGGAAGUUGAAGGCCAAGUUAUCGACCUUAUGCUCAUAGAUUUUGCCAUUUCGGUCGAGUUUAUAGCGAGAAGUACCCUGAAACUCUCCCUUUGCCUCCCAUGGGACUCUAGGUACACCUUUAAGAUUCCACCUGAUGAGAAUCAUGUUCUCUGAUGGUUGCCAAACCCUGAAGAUCUCAAGUGAGAUAUCCCUGAAGAGAAUCUUGCCAUGAAAUCUAAGUGCCCAGAAGAUCAAUUUGUAGUUGUCAAUCCCAGAGAACGUGUUCAUUGGAUCCACUAAUGUUAUAUCAUCCCUGAAAGAGGAAACACAAAUGCUUUCAUUGACAGGUUUAAGGAAGGAAUCACCUAAAGGAGAAAGAGGAAAACACACCUGUAAAUGUCGUAAUUGAGAUCUUUGGUGAAGAGGAGAGGCAAAUCUUCGCGAAGGGUACGUACAGCUAAACCGAGAUUGAUGUAGAAGUCAUCUUUGCUGCCGUGCUGGUACUUAUCCUGCGCACUUGGUUUGGUCUUAACCUGCGCACCUCGAACAGGAGGAGGAGCCUGGACGCUAAAGAGAGAAAGUGGAGAGAGACUAUCUUCUUCAAACUCGUAGCUAUUGGACGAUGAUGAUGAUGAUGAUAAAGCUUGGUUGGAAAUGGGUUUCUCUUUGAGUGAUUUUCCGGUCGGAAGAAGGAAAGAAGGAGAGAGAUUGGGGAGAAGAAACGCCAUAGCUGCUGGAUUUUAGAGCUUCUCUUGUUCUUUUGUUGUUGUUUUGUCUUAAUUUUUCAAGGCGACUUAAGAGAAUCAGAGGGAGAGGAUGACGAGUUGAGAAGAGCGAAGAUGCACGAAGAAGCUUUGUUGGAAGAUAAACAGCUGCUC
RNAcentral lists this long non-coding RNA (1124 nucleotides) under Arabidopsis thaliana (thale cress). Its description in RNAcentral is "natural antisense transcript overlaps with AT1G79510 (AT1G09863)". The record is from RNAcentral. Lineage: Eukaryota; Viridiplantae; Streptophyta; Magnoliopsida; Brassicales; Brassicaceae.